Molecule: ribosomal RNA, 78 nt
Filed under: Escherichia coli
Lineage: Bacteria; Pseudomonadati; Pseudomonadota; Gammaproteobacteria; Enterobacterales; Enterobacteriaceae
Description: partial 23S ribosomal RNA
Source: RNAcentral
GUGUGUAAGCGCAGCGAUGCGUUGAGCUAACCGGUACUAAUGAACCGUGAGGCUUAACCUUACAACGCCGAAGGGGUU